GUCUGUAUGGGGAUUUAUAAGUCUGGCCUGCCCACUGGGAUAAAACUAAAGGGCCGCGGUAUUCUAACCGUGCGAAGGUAGCAUAGUCAUUAGUCUUUUAAUUGGGGGCUUGUAUGAAGGGUUGAACAAGAGGCAAACUGUCUCAAAAAUAAGGUUUGAAAUUAACUUUUAAGUGAAAAGGCUUAAAUAUCUUAGAGGGACGAUAAGACCCUAUAAAGCUUGAUAAUUUUGUAUAUAAAUAAGUAAGUUGUUAGUAUUAUACUGUCUACAUAUAAAAUUAUUUCGUUGGGGCGACGAUAAUAUAAUCUGUAACUGUUUAGGUUUUAACUCAAAUAUAUUUGUGUUUAAUGAUCCAUUAAUUGUUGAUUAAAAAUUUAAGUUACUUUAGGGAUAACAGCGUUAUUUAUUUUGAGAGUUCAUAUCGAUAAAGAAGUUUGCGACCUCGAUGUUGAAUUAAAAUUUUUCCGUGGUGCAGUAGUUACGGAUA
This 487-nucleotide ribosomal RNA is filed under the name Metanephrops sibogae (Siboga lobster). RNAcentral's name for it is "partial 16S ribosomal RNA". It matches the Rfam family "Bacterial large subunit ribosomal RNA", at positions 1829 to 2570 of the family's 2925-position model. The record is from RNAcentral. Lineage: Eukaryota; Metazoa; Arthropoda; Malacostraca; Decapoda; Nephropidae.